UUUCUCAAGGAGCGCUGCGAGACUUUCUCCUUUAUUGAAAGCUCCCAGGCUUGAGAUAAAUCUUAACGGCGCUCACCACAC
This 81-nucleotide non-coding RNA is filed under the name Sutterella sp. CAG:521. RNAcentral describes it as "SAH (S-adenosyl-L-homocysteine) riboswitch aptamer". It matches the Rfam family "SAH (S-adenosyl-L-homocysteine) riboswitch aptamer". The record is from Rfam by way of RNAcentral. RNAcentral also lists the same sequence under 1 other name. Lineage: Bacteria; Pseudomonadati; Pseudomonadota; Betaproteobacteria; Burkholderiales; Sutterellaceae.